Molecule: ribosomal RNA, 199 nt
Filed under: uncultured Lactobacillus sp.
Lineage: Bacteria; Bacillati; Bacillota; Bacilli; Lactobacillales; Lactobacillaceae
Description: partial 16S ribosomal RNA
Rfam family: Bacterial small subunit ribosomal RNA
Source: RNAcentral
ACUCCUACGGGAGGCAGCAGUAGGGAAUCUUCCACAAUGGGCGCAAGCCUGAUGGAGCAACACCGCGUGAGUGAAGAAGGGUUUCGGCUCGUAAAACUCUGUUGUUGGAGAAGAACGUGCGUAAGAGUAACUGUUUACGCAGUGACGGUAUCCAACCAGAAAGUCACGGCUAACUACGUGCCAGCAGCCGCGGUAAUAC